UCUCCUGUAGCUCAGUGGAAGAGCGUCUGAUCGGUGUACGGAAGGUCAUAGGUUCGACUCCUGUUUGGAGAA
This 72-nucleotide transfer RNA is filed under the name Desmophyllum pertusum. RNAcentral describes it as "Lophelia pertusa tRNA". It matches the Rfam family "tRNA". From Rfam's summary of the family: Transfer RNA (tRNA) molecules are approximately 80 nucleotides in length. Their secondary structure includes four short double-helical elements and three loops (D, anti-codon, and T loops). Further hydrogen bonds mediate the characteristic L-shaped molecular structure. tRNAs have two regions of fundamental functional importance: the anti-codon, which is responsible for specific mRNA codon recognition, and the 3' end, to which the tRNAs corresponding amino acid is attached (by aminoacyl-tRNA synthetases). tRNAs cope with the degeneracy of the genetic code in two manners: having more than one tRNA (with a specific anti-codon) for a particular amino acid; and 'wobble' base-pairing, i.e. permitting non-standard base-pairing at the 3rd anti-codon position. Lineage: Eukaryota; Metazoa; Cnidaria; Anthozoa; Scleractinia; Caryophylliidae. The record is from Rfam by way of RNAcentral.